CCUACGGGGGGCUGCAGUAGGGAAUAUUGGGCAAUGGAAGGAAUUCUGACCCAGCCAUGCCGCGUGCAGGAAUACAGUCCUAUGGACUUUAAACUGCUUUUAUUAUAGAGUAACCUGGGGGACGCGUCCCCCACUGCAAGUAUAUAAUGAAUAAGCAUCGGCUAACUCCGUGCCAGCAGCCGCGGUAAUACGGGGGAUGCAAGCGUUAUCCGGAUUUAUUGGGUUUAAAGGGUGCGCAGGCUGAUCGGUAAGUCAUGGGUGAAAAGUCACUGCUUAACAGUGAUCGUGCCUAUGAUACUGCCGGACUAGAGUUUAAGAGGUGUAACUGGAAUGUGAUGUGUAGCGGUGAAAUGCUUAGAUAUGUCACAGAACGCCAAUCGUGAAGACAGGUUACAAACUUAAUACUGACGCUCAUGCACGAAAGCGUGGGGAUCAAACAGGAUUAGAUACCCCAGUAGUC
Molecule: ribosomal RNA, 460 nt
Filed under: uncultured Bacteroidota bacterium
Lineage: Bacteria; Pseudomonadati; Bacteroidota
Description: bacterial SSU rRNA
Rfam family: Bacterial small subunit ribosomal RNA
Source: RNAcentral